GUGGAGGUUGCAAAGUGGUGAAGGCGUUUGGGUGCUAAUCGAAUGUGUUCUCCCGUAUGAGUUCGAAUCUCAUCCUUCACG
This is a transfer RNA of Ramazzottius varieornatus, 81 nucleotides long. It matches the Rfam family "tRNA". Rfam says of the family: Transfer RNA (tRNA) molecules are approximately 80 nucleotides in length. Their secondary structure includes four short double-helical elements and three loops (D, anti-codon, and T loops). Further hydrogen bonds mediate the characteristic L-shaped molecular structure. tRNAs have two regions of fundamental functional importance: the anti-codon, which is responsible for specific mRNA codon recognition, and the 3' end, to which the tRNAs corresponding amino acid is attached (by aminoacyl-tRNA synthetases). tRNAs cope with the degeneracy of the genetic code in two manners: having more than one tRNA (with a specific anti-codon) for a particular amino acid; and 'wobble' base-pairing, i.e. permitting non-standard base-pairing at the 3rd anti-codon position. Lineage: Eukaryota; Metazoa; Tardigrada; Eutardigrada; Parachela; Ramazzottiidae. The record is from Rfam.